Molecule: ribosomal RNA, 1231 nt
Filed under: metagenome
Description: bacterial LSU rRNA
Rfam family: Bacterial large subunit ribosomal RNA
Source: RNAcentral
UGAGUACGAGAUGCUACGGCAUCGAAGCAGUCUAUGUCAUACUUCCAAGAAAAGCUUGCACUGUCAGAAACAGAUAAUGCCUGUACCAUAACCGACACAGGUGGGUAGGUAGAGUAUACUAAGGGGCGCGAGAUAACUCUCUAAGGAACUCGGCAAAAUGACUCCGUAACUUCGGGAGAAGGAGUGCCUUAUUUUUAAGGUUGCAAUAACAAGAUCCAAGCAACUGUUUACCAAAAACACAGGUCUCCGCUAAGUCGUAAGACGAUGUAUGGGGGCUGACGCCUGCCCAGUGCCAGAAGGUUAAAGAAGUCGGUUAGCAUUCGCGAAGCUGGUAACUGAAGCCCUGGUGAACGGCGGCCGUAACAAUAACGGUCCUAAGGUAGCGAAAUUCCUUGUCGGGUAAGUUCCGACCCGCACGAAAGGCGUAAUGAUUUGGAUACUGUCUCGGAGAGGGGCUCGGUGAAAUAGACUUGUCUGUGAAGAUGCGACUACCUGCACCUGGACAGAAAGACCCUAUGAAGCUUUACUGUAACUUGAAAUUGAAAUUGGACUUUAUUUGCGCAGUAUAGGUGGGAGGCGUUGAAAAUAUUCUUGCGGGAAUAUUGGAGCCAUCAGUGAGAUACCACUCCUGUAAUGUUAGAUUUCUAACUUUAUAUCAUUAUCUGGUUAAAGAACAGUUUCAGGCGGGCAGUUUGACUGGGGCGGUCGCCUCCCAAAUGGUAACGGAGGCGCACAAAGGUUUCCUCUGAACGGGUAGAAAUCGUAUCUAGAGUGUAAAGGCAUAAGGAAGCUUGACUGUGAGACCUACAAGUCGAGCAGGGACGAAAGUCGGUCUUAGUGAUCUGACGGUGCUGAGUGGAAAGGCCGUCACUCAACGGAUAAAAGUUACUCUAGGAUAACAGGCUGAUCUCCCCCAAGAGUUCACAUCGACGGGGAGGUUUGGCACCUCGAUGUCGGCUCAUCGCAUCCUGGGGCGGUAGUACGUCCCAAGGGUUGGGCUGUUCGCCCAUGAAAGCGGUACGCGAGCUGGGUUCAGAACGUCGUGAGACAGUUCGGUCCAUAUCCGGUGUAGGCGUUAGAAUAUUGAGAGGAGCCUUCUUUAGUACGAGAGGACCGAGAAGGACAUACCUCUGGUGUACCAGUUAUCGUGCCAACGGUAAACGCUGGGUAGCUAUGUAUGGAGUGGAUAACCGCUGAAAGCAUCUAAGUGGGAAGCCCACCUCAAGAUAAG